GUCUUUUCUUGGUAGCCUGCAGCCAAAGAGCGAGCUCCGGCAACCGGCGGGCACCACACGGUUGCUGCUCCUCCACCUCCACCGUGAUGCAGGCCAACGCAUGGAAGUACAGAUCCAAGUGAAUUAUCUAGAUUUUGAGCUAUUGAGGAUGAUAUUUGGGACUAGUUUGGAAGAGGCAUGGAUUGGAAACGUUGGAGAACAACAAGAUUAA
RNAcentral lists this long non-coding RNA (211 nucleotides) under Oryza sativa tropical japonica subgroup. RNAcentral's name for it is "lncRNA OsCMeo_10g0007940". Lineage: Eukaryota; Viridiplantae; Streptophyta; Magnoliopsida; Poales; Poaceae. The record is from RNAcentral.